CGCCUCUUGAUUUAAAAUAAGAGGUCCAGCCUGCCCAGUGAAUUUUUAACGGCCGCGGUAUCCUAACCGCGCGAAGGUAGCAUAAUCAUUUGUUCUUUAAAUGGGGACUCGUAUCAACGGCAUCACGAGGGUUUUACUGUCUCCUCCUUUUAAUCAGUGAAAUUGAUCUUCCCGUGAAGAAGCGGGAAUGCCUGUAUAAGACGAGAAGACCCCAUGGAGCUUUAAACCAAGUAGUAACUUAACCACAUAACCCCCAAUAAUUUUGAGUUUAUGCUAUAAGGUUUUCGGUUGGGGUGACCGCGGAGUAAAACAUAUCCUCCACGACGAAAAGGCCACAAUCUUUAUUUAAGAAUUACAAUUCUAGAAAUUAGUAUACUAACGUUUACUGACCCGAUAAUCGAUCAACGGACCAAGUUACCCUGGGGAUAACAGCGCAAUCUACUUCAAGAGCCCAUAUCGACAAGUAGGCUUACGACCUCGAUGUUGGAUCAGGGUAUCCCAGUGGUGCAGCCGCUACUAAAGGUUCGUUUGUUCAACGAUUAAAACCCUACG
RNAcentral lists this ribosomal RNA (552 nucleotides) under Polypedates discantus (Malayan slender tree frog). Its description in RNAcentral is "partial 16S ribosomal RNA". It matches the Rfam family "Bacterial large subunit ribosomal RNA", at positions 1816 to 2600 of the family's 2925-position model. The record is from RNAcentral. Lineage: Eukaryota; Metazoa; Chordata; Amphibia; Anura; Rhacophoridae.